Molecule: ribosomal RNA, 986 nt
Filed under: Echinostomatidae sp. CA-2021
Lineage: Eukaryota; Metazoa; Platyhelminthes; Trematoda; Plagiorchiida; Echinostomatidae
Description: 16S ribosomal RNA
Rfam family: Bacterial large subunit ribosomal RNA (bases 633-986)
Source: RNAcentral
CGAAUAUAAUUUAGAGAUUGUAAGUGUUGCAGUUUAGGCUAUUUGAGGUACCUUUUGCAUCAUGAUUUAUUGAAGGUCUUUGCUGUUUUGUAUUGACCCGAAAAAUGCCGAUUUCUGUCUUUACAGUUUGGUACUCAGUCUAGGACGGGUAGUUUAGGUUAGAUAAAGAUUAGGGUUGUGAGAAAUAAUUCGGGGCAUUUAAUAUCUGGUUCUGGGGGUUAAUAUAGAUUUAGUUUUCUGGCAAGGAUGUCGGGGAACGGUUAAUAGCAUGUUUACUGGUAGUGAUUUGCGUGGGUUAAAGUUACCCCUGCAUAGUGAUUGUGUUAAGACUCUCUGGUUUAGGUGUUAUGCUUUAGUGGUUUACCCCAGUAUUGAUUAAUUUUAGUAAAGUAUGAUAAAAUAAGUAGGUUUUGAUUAAUUUCAUUUUUUCUCGAUUUUCUCCGGUCUGUUUAUUAAAAACAUUUCCAUUUAGAGUUUUGAAUGGUAGUGCCUGCCCAGUGCUUAAUUGUAAAUGGCCGCAGUAUUUUGACUGUGCUAAGGUAGCAUAAUUAGUUGCCCCAUAAUUGGGGGAUUGUUUGAAAGGUUUGACCAGGGGGGUGUGUAUUAGAUUGAAAUUAAGUCUGAAAUUAAGUUGCUGGUGCAGACUCCAGCAGAAGUUUAUUAGACGGAAAGACCCCGAGAUCUUUAUAUUGCGAUGUUUACUUGGGGCAAGGCCAUAUAGUUUAUGUGGUUUUAGAUCCUAAGGGAUAGAAGGUUUAAGUUACCUCGGGGAUAACUAGGUAAAAAAUGAGGAGAGAUCUUAUCGAUUCGUUUGAUUGCCAUCUCGAUGUUGACUUAGGAAAUGUGGUGAGGUGCAGAAGUUUCAUUACGUGGUCUGUUCGACCCUUUGUUCCUUCAUGAGUUGAGUUAAGACCGGCGUGAGCCAGGUCGGUUCUUAUCUAUAAUUGGUGUGAACUAGUACGAAAGGAUUGUUUGCAUUUUAUGUU